GCAAAAGCUGCCCUAUAAAGCAGCACUGGGAUAACAGCAGCCCAUCUGUCGCUUUCUUGGAUUUGGCUGAAGGGUUCCACUGGAGGCACUGCAGGAAAGGGGCACAAUGCUCAACCUCAGCUCGGCUCUGAGGUUGGAGCAAGGCAUGCAAACAGCAGGGACAACAGGAGGCCUCCAGAACCUGAGGAAAUUUAAUAAUCAGGACUUCGAGCACCUGCGAUCCCUGUGUCUGAGCCAAGGUCUGUUGUUUGAGGAUGACACCUUCCCUGCCGAUAUCAGCUCCAUUGGUCCUAACCUGCUCCCAAAGGAUGAGCUGCAGCAAAUAGUGUGGAAGAGGCCAAAGGAGCUUCUGAGAAACCCCUUUUUGAUAAUGGAUGGAGUUAGCAGAUUUGAUAUUAUUCAAGGAGAAAUAGGUGACUGCUGGAUGCUGGCUGCCCUGGGCUCCCUGACAAUGCAGAAGCGAUUUCUGGAAAAUGUUUUACCAAAGGACCAAGGAUUCCAGAGUGAUUAUGCUGGGAUUUUCCAUUUUCGGUUCUGGCAAUUUGGAGACUGGGUGGAUGUAGUGAUAGAUGACCGGCUGCCUUUCCUAAAUGGCAAUUACCUGUCUGUACACCCUCGAACAUCAAAUGAAUUCUGGCCAUCCUUGCUGGAAAAAGCAUAUGCUAAGCUGCAGGGCUCCUACCAGAACUUGCACGGGGGCUACAUUUCUGAUGCUUUAGUAGACUUCACAGGCGGAGUCCAAAUGCAGUUCUCAUUAAAGGACCCCCCUCCUUAUCUGGAGGACAUUCUGAAAGCUGCUAGCAAAUCUCAGUGUCUGAUGGGAUGUAGCACCUCAGGCCGGAUGAGAAACACAGUAUUAAGGAAUGGGAUUGUGCAAGGUCAUGCAUACACUGUCACAGGAGCCGUGAAGAUACGAUUCAAGAACCACUGGGAACAUAUCAUCAGAGUCUGGAAUCCAUGGGGCCAUGGGGAGUGGAAGGGGCCCUGGAGUGAUGGCUCUCCAGAAUGGGACUACGUUGAGCCUGAAAUUAAGGAAGAGCUUUACAGAAAGAAAAAUGAUGGAGAAUUCUGGAUGUCCUGUGAAAGCUUUCGGGAGCAGUUUUCCUGGCUGUGUGUUUGUAACUGCACCCCAACGUUUCUGGACUUUGGAGAUCAGCACCACACAGGAUGGUCUGUGGACAGGCACAUCAACCUGUGGAGCCCGCUGCUCACUACUGGCAGGAGUGACUAUUCUUCUGCAGGUGCAGUUUCAAAGAACCCUCAGUAUUUCUUCAAAGUAACAAAUUAUGACCCCAAAUCCUACAAUGUGGUCAUUUCACUCAUACAAAAAAAUGCAGAGGGUAUGCAGGAUGCACAAAAAUUGAAGAUUGGCUUCUUUAUCACCAUGGAGAACUCCAAAGUUCUGAAACAAGAUUUCUCCCUUACCCGAGACGUGAGCAGCUGCUUUAAUUUGAGCCCAGGAACUUAUGCUGUCAUUCCUGCUACAACAGAGGACCGAGAAUUUGAAUUUGUCUUACGAAUUUUUGUGAAGAAUCAAGACUACAAUGAGAACGCAAACUCUCAGCUCAACCCAAUGCUGCCAAUGGAUGUACCAAGACAGAAACAGGACAGCUCCUAUAAGGCUAUCUUCCUAAAAUAUGCGAAGCAGGGCUCAGCUAUUGAUGCUUUGCAGUUGCAACAACUUCUUAAUGACAUGGUCCUGCAAGAUGAAAUGACCAGCCUGGGAGGAGAGUUCAGCUUUGAUUCAUGUCGAGCCAUUUUAGCUCUGAUGGAUCUCAAUUCAAAUGGACAACUCACGCUGCAGGAGUUUGGGAGCCUCUGGCGAAGUGUCACCAAGUACAUGGAUCUCUUCAAGAGAGAAGACAGAAAUCGUUCUGGAUUUCUCGAUGUAUCUGAACUGAAGAGUGCGAUACAGACAGCAGGCCUGCCCGUCAAUGAGCAGAUCCUGCGCCUGAUGGCCCUGCGCUACGGCGAUGUGUACAGGAGAAUGGGCUUUGCUGACUUCGUGAGCUGCAUGCUGCGCCUUGAAACCAUGACCUAUGCGUUCCAAAACUUAGCCAAAGGUGGACCACAAGUUUUGAUGACGGUGAUGGAGUGGCUGACUCUUGUCAUGUACAUCUGAAGAGUUGUCAGAGCUCAAUGUGCUGGUGAGAAAUCUCCUUAAUACUGUACACACUGAGAAGGGACUUGCCUUGGACAGCACACCUUCCCUUUGUCACAACAAAGCUGUAUUUUGGUGUAUUCAUGCUGUGUAGAAGCAGGUUAUUAACAACACAGCACCCACCCCUUGCACCACAUGGUGUUAUUAGGUGGCUUUUCUCCAAUUUGGUAUGAGGCACCUUCAGGUCGUCCAUGGGGCUCUAGAAAAACCAAACGCUGGAGGCAUGAAGCUGAGUUUUCUUAUUUGCUUACAUGUCACGGUACUUAAAACUGAAAAAUAUCUGUAAUUUCUCAGUAACCCCCACACAAACUUCACCUCCAUUCUUUAAGCACGAUGAUAAAAGUGAUCUGAUGUUCCAUUCUAUUCAUCUACUGGGGCAAGCCUGGCAUUUUUUUAGUGGUGAGGAUAUCACCUUUUGUAGCACCCUGAGGAAAUGUUAUAUGCUAUAGUUUCAGGGCACCUACCCAGCUCCCUUCCCCAUGGGACAAACUGCCACGUGAGGCUGAUGCUCAUUAAACAAGGAACAUAGACACCCACUUUAGGAAACAGCAUUUCCUCGUUUAAUAUGCCAUAUAUUAGAUUCAGUCCUAUUCAGCUCCAAAUGCCAAGCUGCCACAGAAACACCUAUGAAUCAAAGCUGGUUGUGUGAGGAGAAAGAUUGCUGUGCAAAUAGCAACGUGUGUUUAAAAGGAAUGCAUUUAGGAAAGGAGAUGGGGGAUCUCUUUAGGAGGAACUGUUUGACCAUUCAGGGGAUGAAGGCAUCCCCUGAUGCACUCCCUGUGAACAUUUGUACCUCAAGGCAUACAGCACACCACAGCUCCAGCCCUCUCUUUUAAUGUCAAUUUAAUAGAAGCAAGUGCUAGAGAAGGCAGAUGUCAGCACUCACUCAUCUCUGCUGCCCGGAGGUGGAAGCACGUUGUUGCAGACACUUUUUCAUAGAUAGCAGACACUUUCUAAAGCCAAAGUUCAGAGUAUGGGAUAGAGGAAUUCAGUUUCCAUUAAAUCACAUUAUGAAAAAUCA
Non-coding RNA from Meleagris gallopavo (turkey), 3182 nucleotides. NCBI's taxonomy places the organism in Eukaryota, Metazoa, Chordata, Aves, Galliformes, Phasianidae. The record is from RefSeq and is a predicted model, not a curated record.